GGAAGAAGCGGUCAAUCCGAACCAUCCGCUGCUGGAGCGGGUCCGGUUCCUGUCGAUUUCUGCCAAUAACCUUGACGAGUUCUUCAUGGUCCGCGUCGCGGGCCUCAAGGCGCAGGUCCGCGAAGGCAUUACGGAGCGCAGCCCGGAUGGCUCGACGCCCACCGAGCAACUCGCCAAGAUCAAUGAGACCGUCUCGAAGCUCGCGAGCGACCAGCAGGCGAUCUGGCGCGAUCUGCGCAGCG
This 242-nucleotide unclassified non-coding RNA is filed under the name Hevea brasiliensis (rubber tree). The record is from RNAcentral. Lineage: Eukaryota; Viridiplantae; Streptophyta; Magnoliopsida; Malpighiales; Euphorbiaceae.